This is a long non-coding RNA of Canis lupus familiaris (dog), 1299 nucleotides long. RefSeq lists it as uncharacterized. The record is from RefSeq and is a predicted model, not a curated record. The transcript has 6 exons. NCBI's taxonomy places the organism in Eukaryota, Metazoa, Chordata, Mammalia, Carnivora, Canidae.
UAUUCAGCCGGCGAGGGAGCUCCACUUUUGUAGUCCUAAGAGGUCAGCUUCCUGGAGGAGGGCACAGAGCAGAUCAGAGAAAGAGAGACGCCUGGAUUCAGACACACUGCCACUGUCUAGUGGUGCUGAGUCCCCAGACUGAAGUCUGUCUGUUCCAGCUGUAGAGGAGAGGGCAAGUUGUCCCUCAGCCCCAGACCAGGGCAGGAGCCGGCAGAGAUACCGCUUGGGCUGCUGAGAGCAUCCUGUGGAUACCCAUCACCCACCCUGGCUGGGAGUCGUACUCAGCUCUCCCUGGGGCCCCCUGAGUCAGGGGAAAAGCAAAAGGAGGAAAGGAAAAUCAGAAGAUAACAGAGGCGAAUGCUCAAGAACUCCACCGCAAGCCUCUGACUCGUGCAUUGGGGCAGCCAGCCGGGCAGGGGGCUGCUGCAUCCGCCCUGUGGUGGGACCCACGGAUGUCUUUGCUGCCUCUAGAGCCCAAGACAGGCCCACCAGGCCCUGAUCAGAGAUUCUAGGUGGUUCUCCACAGCUGCCUCUGGCUUGUUCCAAAUUUGAACUCCAGGGAAGUUCUGCCUCUGUGAUCUGGAAGGCACCUUCCCUGUCCCAUGCCUGUUCCACAGGGAACCUCUGCUCCACUCUCCGUGCUCUGGAGAAGUGUCUCUGGAUAAGAGAGAUACUGAAAGGUGCCUCAGGCUCAGUGCGCACGCUCUCUCCGAACUCGUGUAACAGUCCUGAUUAGUCCAGGGAGCUGACACCUCAUGGCUGUCCCCAGCUCGUGUCUCUGCAUCCUCCUUCCCGGAACCUCUGCAUACUGUGAGUCGCAACAACAUCGCUGGUAGGACUGAACCUAAUUCUGGCCCUUCUUUACCCCACCACUGACACCUGCUCUUUUAGCCUGUUUCCUGGAGUGGUGGUAGAGGAGGCACCGCAAUUUUUCUUUAUCUUUUAUUAAAUAUGUGGAUUCUUUAGGUAUAACUGAUCUACAGCAUUAAAUUUGUUUUAGGUGUAUAAAUAACAUAAUGAUGCAAUAUUUGUUGUCUAUUGUGAAAUGGUCACCACAAGAAGUCUAGUUAGCAUCUAUCACCAUGGACAGUUAAACAUUUUUUUUCUUCUGAUGGCAACUUUCGUGAUCCACUCUUUCAGCGACUUUCAAAUACGCAAUACAGUAUUAUUAACCAGAGUCACCAUGCUGCACACUACCUCCCCAUGACUUAUUUAUAACUUGAAGUUUGUACCUAUUGAUCCCUUCAUGCAUUCCACUCACCCCUGAUCCCCUGUUUCUGGCAACCACUCAUCUGUUUU